GGCGUAUUUUGCCCAGGCCCCUUUCGGCGAAUGUAUGCAUUCGCCUGUCGGGUGAGAGGAGCUCGACCGCCCGUUCAAGCGAGGAUCGCGUUCAUCGACGAUCACCGCCAGGUCCAUGGGGUCGAGCCGAUCUGCAAAGUGCUGCCGAUCGCCCCC
This is a regulatory RNA element of 156 nucleotides. It matches the Rfam family "ALIL pseudoknot". The record is from Rfam.